Molecule: long non-coding RNA, 399 nt
Filed under: Phaseolus vulgaris (common bean)
Lineage: Eukaryota; Viridiplantae; Streptophyta; Magnoliopsida; Fabales; Fabaceae
Description: long non-coding RNA (PVUL_LNC001247)
Source: RNAcentral
AGAACCAGAUAAUGUAAAGAUUGUAAAGGAAGCCAUUAGUUUGUGUGAAGAGCCUUCAAUCAGAGGAGUAGAAAAACAUUGUGCAACUUCAUUGGAAUCCGUGGUAGAUUUCAUCACUUCUAAGCUUGGGAAGAAUGUCCAAGUUAUUUCUACAGAGGUAGAAAAGGAAAGUAAGUCCCAAAAAUUCUUAGUGAAAAAUGGAGUGAAUAUGUUAGCAGAAGAAAAUGUCAUUGUAUGUCAUCCAAUGAAUUACCUAUAUGUUGUCUUUUACUGCCAUAAGAUAUCAAAUACUACUGCACGUUUUAUGCCUUUGGAGGGAGAAGAUGGGAAUAGGGUUAAAGCUGUAGCCGUAUGCCACAAAGACACAUCUGAAUGGGAUCCAAACCACGGCUUUUUACA